CAGCCACAUCACAUUGAAACACCGGUUCCACUAUGAUCACCAAAGUUAAGCAACAUCAAGCCUGGUCAGUACCUAGAUGGGUGACUGCUUGGGAAUACCAGGUGCUGUAAG
Non-coding RNA from Acanthosepion pharaonis, 111 nucleotides. Lineage: Eukaryota; Metazoa; Mollusca; Cephalopoda; Sepiida; Sepiidae. The record is from the annotation of a GenBank genome assembly.